GUCCUAAUGAGAAAUGUGUGCCUGGUUUUCCUUCAUUAUAAGUUUUACUCGUGGUCGAAUGAUUGACAAACAUACCCUCAUAUCGUCUUUUAAGUUCUUCAGUUGUGAUCAAUUUUUGGUUUUAAUGGUAUUCAUAGAACUAGGACCAGGCAAUUCUUCAACAUCAACAAUUUGAGCACUUGUAUUUGGGAAAGACAAUUC
Non-coding RNA from Cinara cedri, 201 nucleotides. The record is from the annotation of a GenBank genome assembly. NCBI's taxonomy places the organism in Eukaryota, Metazoa, Arthropoda, Insecta, Hemiptera, Aphididae.